This is a long non-coding RNA of Acinonyx jubatus (cheetah), 814 nucleotides long. RefSeq lists it as uncharacterized. The record is from RefSeq and is a predicted model, not a curated record. The transcript is spliced from 4 exons. NCBI's taxonomy places the organism in Eukaryota, Metazoa, Chordata, Mammalia, Carnivora, Felidae.
AUUUUUCCAGUGAUUAUUGGUAGCUGUCUCCAUAAUUGCAAUGGUCUGACAGUUGCACCUUGUAACCAAAGUCUAAUCCAAUCCACAGGCUUCCUGCAAAAGACCCACCCAGGAAUGUUUGGGGAUUUCUGUGUAACCUGGAGAGAGCUACUAAAUUCUGGAACUCUUUAAGACUGCUCAGACUCUUUGCACUAUGCUGAAAAUAAUUUCCAACUAUUCUAAGGAGUUACUAAGUUACUUAAUAAAGGAGCUUUUAUACCUGGAUUAAGGUAUCAGACCAAGAGAAAAGCAUCAAGACCUGGUUGGAUGAUGUAAAAGGAUGUUGCGUAAGAAUCUGAAGUCAUUGUACACUGACGAAUUACACAAGCCCUUGAGCCCUACCAGUGCGAUCCAGGGGAGAAUGUUCACUGUGUGGGCUCCUUCACCUCUCAAUCAACUCUGAAUAUCUACAAAUCAAGUAUUCAAGUGGCCUAGGAACUGCAGGCAGCGUGUUUAAUCUACGAGUGGACAUUUCACAGCCUCCUUAGGGAUAGGGGCGAUGUAGGAUAUACCAGGAUUUGCAGUUUCCUGGACAUCAGUCCCCUCACCUAACACAAGAGACUUGGAUGCCUCUCACCGUGAGUCUCCGCAAACAUUUCCUGUGCGCCCACGGAGAACGGUAUGAGAAAAAUGCUCUAAGAGACGGGAGCCGAUCGGGGUUGCCGGCUGGGAGUCUGCGCCUUGGAGAGGGGGCAGGCUGCUCGCCGUCCACCUGUGCGACUUCUGCGGCGGACCACCCCGGGAGAGAAGCAGGGCUGCGGGGCAGCGGGCGCAU